Molecule: ribosomal RNA, 468 nt
Filed under: uncultured bacterium
Lineage: Bacteria
Description: partial 16S ribosomal RNA
Rfam family: Bacterial small subunit ribosomal RNA
Source: RNAcentral
GACGAACGCUGUCGGCGUGCUUAACACAUGCAAGUCGAACGGAAAGGCCCUGCUUUUGUGGGGUGCUCGAGUGGCGAACGUGUGAGUAACACGUGAGUAACCUGCCCUUGACUUUGGGAUAACUUCAGGAAACUGGGGCUAAUACCGGAUAGGAGCUCCUGCUGCAUGGUGGGGGUUGGAAAGUUUCGGCGGUUGGGGAUGGACUCGCGGCUUAUCAGCUUGUUGGUGGGGUAGUGGCUUACCAAGGCUUUGACGGGUAGCCGGCCUGAGAGGGUGACCGGCCACAUUGGGACUGAGAUACGGCCCAGACUCCUAAGGGAGGCAGCAGUGGGGAAUAUUGCACAAGGGGAGGAAGCCUGAUGCAGCAACGCAGCGUGCGGGAUGACGGCCUUCGGGUUGUAAACCGCUUUCGCCUGUGACGAAGAGUGAGUGACGGUAAUGGGUAAAGAAGCACCGGCUAACUACGUG